UGAAGAUUAGUUUAACUAAAACCUGAAGUUUCGACCUUCAAAUUCUUAGCUCAAAACCUAAGAUCUUCCA
RNAcentral lists this transfer RNA (70 nucleotides) under Holothuria spinifera. RNAcentral's name for it is "tRNA-Arg". The record is from RNAcentral. Lineage: Eukaryota; Metazoa; Echinodermata; Holothuroidea; Aspidochirotida; Holothuriidae.